UACAGAGGGUGCGAGCGUUAAUCGGAAUUACUGGGCGUAAAGCGUGCGUAGACGGUUAUUUAAGUCGGGUGUGAAAGCCCCGGGCUCAACCUGGGAAUUGCAUUCGAGACUGAAUAGCUAGGGUACGGUAGAGGGAAGCGGAAUUUCAGGUGUAGCGGUGAAAUGCGUAGAUAUCUGAAGGAACAUCAGUGGCGAAAGCGACUUCCUGGACCAAUACUGACGCUCAUGUGCGAAAGCGUGGGGAGCAAACAGG
Molecule: ribosomal RNA, 253 nt
Filed under: uncultured bacterium
Lineage: Bacteria
Description: partial 16S ribosomal RNA
Rfam family: Bacterial small subunit ribosomal RNA
Source: RNAcentral